RNAcentral lists this transfer RNA (88 nucleotides) under Thermoproteota archaeon. Its description in RNAcentral is "Crenarchaeota archaeon (anaerobic digester metagenome) tRNA-Leu". It matches the Rfam family "tRNA". Rfam says of the family: Transfer RNA (tRNA) molecules are approximately 80 nucleotides in length. The record is from RNAcentral. Lineage: Archaea; Thermoproteati; Thermoproteota.
GCGGAGGUCGCCCAGCAUGGUCAAAGGCGUAGGACUGAGGCUCCUAUCCUUUAGAGGUUCGUGGGUUCAAAUCCCACCCUCCGCACCA